UGGGGUGUAGUGUAACGGUUAACAGGCGCCUUGGCAGGGCGUGAUGUGGGUUCGACUCCCAGCCGCCUCAU
This 71-nucleotide transfer RNA is filed under the name Ktedonospora formicarum. RNAcentral describes it as "tRNA-Ala". Lineage: Bacteria; Bacillati; Chloroflexota; Ktedonobacteria; Ktedonobacterales; Ktedonobacteraceae. The record is from RNAcentral.